CCUACGGGAGGCAGCAGUGGGGGAUAUUGCACAAUGGGGGGAACCCUGAUGCAGCGACGCCGCGUGGGUGAAGAAGCGCCUCGGCGCGUAAAGCCCUGUCAGCAGGGAAGAAAAUGACGGUACCUGAAGAAGAAGCCACGGCUAACUACGUGCCAGCAGCCGCGGUAAUACGUAGGUGGCAAGCGUCGUCCGGAAUUACUGGGUGUAAAGGGAGCGUAGGCGGGAAAGCAAGUUGAAUGUUUAAGGUACGGGCUCAACCUGUACAAGCGUUCAAAACUGUUUUUCUUGAGUGGA
This 294-nucleotide ribosomal RNA is filed under the name uncultured bacterium. RNAcentral describes it as "partial 16S ribosomal RNA". It matches the Rfam family "Bacterial small subunit ribosomal RNA", at positions 338 to 650 of the family's 1533-position model. The record is from RNAcentral.